CGCGCAGGCGGUUGUUUAAGUCGAAUGUGAAAGCCCCCGGCUCAACUGGGGAGGGUCAUUCGAUACUGAACGACUUGAAGGCAGGAGAGGGAAGUGGAAUUCCCGGUGUAGUGGUGAAAUGCGUAGAUAUCGGGAGGAACACCAGUGGCGAAGGCGACUUCCUGGCCUGUUCUUGACGCUGAGGCGCGAAAGCUGGGGGAGCAGACG
This 207-nucleotide ribosomal RNA is filed under the name uncultured bacterium. RNAcentral's name for it is "partial 16S ribosomal RNA". It matches the Rfam family "Bacterial small subunit ribosomal RNA", at positions 568 to 774 of the family's 1533-position model. The record is from RNAcentral.